GUGGGGAAUAUUGGACAAUGGGCGAAAGCCUGAUCCAGCCAUGCCGCGUGAGUGAUGAAGGCCUUAGGGUUGUAAAGCUCUUUCAGUAGGGAAGAUAAUGACGGUACCUACAGAAGAAGCCCCGGCUAACUUCGUGCCAGCAGCCGCGGUAAUACGAAGGGGGCUAGCGUUGUUCGGAUUUACUGGGCGUAAAGCGCACGUAGGCGGAUUGGUCAGUUAGAGGUGAAAUCCUGGAGCUCAACUCCAGAACUGCCUUUAAUACUGCCAGUGUAGAGUCCAGAAGAGGUGAGUGGAACUCCUAGUGUAGAGGUGGAAUUCGUAGAUAUUAGGAAGAACACCAGUGGCGAAGGCGGCUCACUGGUCUGGUACUGACGCUGAGGUGCGAAAGCGUGGGGAGCAAACAGGAUUAGAAACCCCAGUAGUCC
RNAcentral lists this ribosomal RNA (425 nucleotides) under uncultured bacterium. RNAcentral's name for it is "bacterial SSU rRNA". It matches the Rfam family "Bacterial small subunit ribosomal RNA", at positions 354 to 796 of the family's 1533-position model. The record is from RNAcentral.